This 237-nucleotide unclassified non-coding RNA is filed under the name Beauveria brongniartii. Its description in RNAcentral is "partial internal transcribed spacer region". The stretch from base 1 to 46 matches the Rfam family "Eukaryotic small subunit ribosomal RNA", at positions 1786 to 1831 of the family's 1831-position model. Lineage: Eukaryota; Fungi; Ascomycota; Sordariomycetes; Hypocreales; Cordycipitaceae. The record is from RNAcentral. RNAcentral also lists the same sequence under 2 other names.
AAGUCGUAACAAGGUCUCCGUUGGUGAACCAGCGGAGGGAUCAUUACCGAGUUUUCAACUCCCUAACCCUUAUGUGAACCUACCUAUUGUUGCUUCGGCGGACUCGCCCCAGCCGGACGCGGACUGGACCAGCGGCCGCCGGGGACCCUCAAACUCUUGUAUUAUCAGCAUCUUCUGAAUACGCCGCAAGGCAAAACAAAUAAAUCAAAACUUUCAACAACGGAUCUCUUGGCUCUG